CUGCACGCGGCGCUGCCAUUUCUAGAGUUCCUGAGAAAAGGGUUUUCUUGUGUAGGGUUUGCUUUGGUUAUUCCCCCCCCCACACACCCCCUUUGUAGGCAACAAAAGAAGAAUGGAACUUCCUGAAUCUUAGGAUCUACAAUUAUGCCACCGGAUCUAAAGGGAAAGGGGAAAAUGAAGACACGAGUCGCUGUUUCUGUUUAUUCAGAUUCUUCGGAGGACACUGGCUUCACAGGAGGAAGUACCCUGAGAAUCACAGUGAGCCACGGUGUGGACGAAGACUCAGGGCCCAGGGCUCAGAGCUUUCAGUGUGUGGCCCGGGGAAAGCCGCAGCACUUCUCUGACCCUCAAUUUCUGGAUCCGUGAAAUGGACAUAAUACCUGCCCUGCUUACCUUACUGCAUUGCCAGAAGAACAGCGCCGAGUGAAGUUUGUGAACAGUGAAAUUUCAUGCGUGUCACGAGUACAAUAGGAUUGUGAUAUCAGUGUCACGCUCAAAAACACACUCUGGAAGGUUGGUUUGUGGUUAAAAAUGAUUCAGACUGAGAGAGAGAUUAUAAAGGCCGCGGAGAUUUACAAAUAGAUCGGUGAGAUCACAGCAGGCACGGAAGGGCACUUUUGAGCCGAUGGUGGAGACACUGAACAGGAAGUCUGGCAGUGGCACCAGAGGAGGAAGAGGUGUUGCUGGGUGCUACUGGAGGAAGCUGGAGGAUUUGUUCCCUGACAUGCAGGGGAAAGCGGUUGAGGAAACAGCUUAUGCUGUGAGCUUAUGAUUUCGUGAGUCACUGUACCAUCCAUGUUGAAGGUCACAUGCAAAAGCCAGAGACAGGAAUAGGUGCGCCUUGCCGAGGUGAUGACCGUGCCCGAGGACCUGUGGAGAAGACACGCGGGGCUGGGUGGUCCAGGAAGUGAAAUGAGUUGGACACUCCAGGCAGGUUCUGAGAAAGCCCAGCAAGAGGCCGUGGGAGGAGGUCAGAAUGAGCAACCGAUAUCUGGGCAGAGGCAGCUGACGGCUGUGGUCGGAGGCCAAGAAAACCAGUUCUGAAGGAGCUGGAAUCCUAGGCAAGGUGGCAAGGAUGCCGCUUGGCAGGGAAGGAAACCUGGCAGUCACCCUGGAACAGAACCAGAACUGCAGGGCUCCGGGAGGCUUGAUGCCUGGGAGAGAGAAAGGAGGACUGUGUUUAGGUCUUGCUCCUCCAGACAGCAGGUUGGGAUAGCAGGAUCCUUGAGAGGUGGGACAUAUCUCAUUCCUCUCUGUAGCCUCGCUACCUAGCACAGUGCCUGGCCUAUGGAAGGCACUCAGCCAGUGUUCGUUGGAAUGAACUGACAGAUUGAUGAACAGCAAAUGAAUAAGGCCAAAUUCAAGAUUCCCAACGAGCUUGGAAUUUUUAUUCCCUCUUUUGGUGGCUUUUGACUGCCUUAGGCUCUUUUCUAGUGCCAUAUAGCUAAUGCCAGGACUACCCUCAGUGUCCCUCCUGAGAACUCUUGGCCAUCUGGCAUGUCUCCAGUCUCCUUCCUUUCUCUUUAUAGGGUGUCUGCAUUCAAGAUGGCUGCGGUCCACUUAGUGGCUUGUUUCCAUGGCAACGUGCUUCUUCAUUAAGCUAUACCCAACCCCUCUCUAGUUACUAGCCUUUGCUGUACCUUAUUCAGUUCCCAGCCGUGUUUACAUCCUGUCCUGAUACAGAAUGUCUUUCAUUAAGGGAACAUUGUCUUCUCAGAAUUAACUUAAAAAAUGCACUUAAACACANACAUUAUACGAAGUUAUACGAUGCCCUGCUUACCUUACUGCAUUGCCAGAAGAACAGCGCCGAGUGAAGUUUGUGAACAGUGAAAUUUCAUGCGUGUCACGAGUACAAUAGGAUUGUGAUAUCAGUGUCACGCUCAAAAACACACUCUGGAAGGUUGGUUUGUGGUUAAAAAUGAUUCAGACUGAGAGAGAGAUUAUAAAGGCCGCGGAGAUUUACAAAUAGAUCGGUGAGAUCACAGCAGGCACGGAAGGGCACUUUUGAGCCGAUGGUGGAGACACUGAACAGGAAGUCUGGCAGUGGCACCAGAGGAGGAAGAGGUGUUGCUGGGUGCUACUGGAGGAAGCUGGAGGAUUUGUUCCCUGACAUGCAGGGGAAAGCGGUUGAGGAAACAGCUUAUGCUGUGAGCUUAUGAUUUCGUGAGUCACUGUACCAUCCAUGUUGAAGGUCACAUGCAAAAGCCAGAGACAGGAAUAGGUGCGCCUUGCCGAGGUGAUGACCGUGCCCGAGGACCUGUGGAGAAGACACGCGGGGCUGGGUGGUCCAGGAAGUGAAAUGAGUUGGACACUCCAGGCAGGUUCUGAGAAAGCCCAGCAAGAGGCCGUGGGAGGAGGUCAGAAUGAGCAACCGAUAUCUGGGCAGAGGCAGCUGACGGCUGUGGUCGGAGGCCAAGAAAACCAGUUCUGAAGGAGCUGGAAUCCUAGGCAAGGUGGCAAGGAUGCCGCUUGGCAGGGAAGGAAACCUGGCAGUCACCCUGGAACAGAACCAGAACUGCAGGGCUCCGGGAGGCUUGAUGCCUGGGAGAGAGAAAGGAGGACUGUGUUUAGGUCUUGCUCCUCCAGACAGCAGGUUGGGAUAGCAGGAUCCUUGAGAGGUGGGACAUAUCUCAUUCCUCUCUGUAGCCUCGCUACCUAGCACAGUGCCUGGCCUAUGGAAGGCACUCAGCCAGUGUUCGUUGGAAUGAACUGACAGAUUGAUGAACAGCAAAUGAAUAAGGCCAAAUUCAAGAUUCCCAACGAGCUUGGAAUUUUUAUUCCCUCUUUUGGUGGCUUUUGACUGCCUUAGGCUCUUUUCUAGUGCCAUAUAGCUAAUGCCAGGACUACCCUCAGUGUCCCUCCUGAGAACUCUUGGCCAUCUGGCAUGUCUCCAGUCUCCUUCCUUUCUCUUUAUAGGGUGUCUGCAUUCAAGAUGGCUGCGGUCCACUUAGUGGCUUGUUUCCAUGGCAACGUGCUUCUUCAUUAAGCUAUACCCAACCCCUCUCUAGUUACUAGCCUUUGCUGUACCUUAUUCAGUUCCCAGCCGUGUUUACAUCCUGUCCUGAUACAGAAUGUCUUUCAUUAAGGGAACAUUGUCUUCUCAGAAUUAACUUAAAAAAUGCACUUAAACACAUUAUGGUAUGACUUUUUUUUUCCAACUAGAAAUAUAAAAUUUCUCCACAACUUCUGUGCCAAAAAAUUAAGUUUCCUUGUCAGCCGUUUUCACUGGCUCUUUUCAAAGCUGUUUCCUCCACACAUAGUGUAUGCCAGCCCUGGAAAGAGUCUCCGGGAGAAGCUUGUGGCUCCCAACAUAAUGUCUGGCUCUCACAUUUUCACCUACAUCUGGGGACUCUGCCCCCUGCUGGUCGUUGUCAUGAUUAUAAUUGCCAGCAGUCUCGCCCUCAGUACUGACGAAUAUGAACACUAACUCAAGAAAAUAGAGGAACAAGAGUCACAGUGCACAUUUAAUUUUGUUACCGUGUCAUUUUUAUUAGACCCAUCCAUUUCUGUUUUUAAGGCUCCUGACGUGGUUUUCAUCACUUUAAUGAAGAAGGCUCUAUCUGACCCAUUAUUAGAAUCCAUCUUGCUCUACUCACAGAGUGUGGCUUGCCCGUAGCUUUUUUCUCAGCUGUAAACUUGUAAGACUCAAGAAACACCGAGGUGGUGCCCACUACUGCCAGUUCAAGUUCUACCUUUCUUUUUGACAUGGAUUUUCACAUCCGCUGGCAGAAUUUCUGCCAUGCAAUCGCCACUUGCAGCCAGUGAGGGUAGGCUUGUCCUUGGUCCAACAGCUAGUCCCAUUUCUCAGUUGGGGCCCGUCACCACUAUUCCUCACCUUCCCAUGAAGCACCAUAUUGAUUCCCACAUUCGGUAUCUCCCACUUACUAGGCCUCUCAUGGCUCAGCUCGGUGCAUUGCCAAGAUCUUCCACCCAGAUCCUUUCCUCAAAGCUCAGUGGGACUCUACACAGCAGAACAUUCAUUGUGGCUAGGGUAUAAACCCAAGUUCCUUAGAACAGCUUGAAAAUCCAGUUUUGAUUUCCCCUGCUCUUUCCAUGCCUGCAUUUAGAGCUAAAGUGCACCAGCGGAUAUGCAAAGUUCAUCCUAACCGUGCAGUUGUGCUAUGACCAAUUUAGAAAAAAAACAUUGUCUAAAGAGGUGGUUCUGUAUACUGUGCGUGGUGUAAUUCUUAUAGGGAAAGUGAAAGUCUUUGUCGUACUGGCUUGAUCCGUGUCCCCUUCAAAAAUACAUUUCAGUCCUUAAUCCCUGACACCCUGAACGUGACCUUAUUUGGAAUUGAGUCUCUGAAGGUAUCAUCAAAUGAAAAUGAGAUCAUAGUGGAUUAUGGUGGGCCCUAGUCCAAUGACGGCUGUUCCUAUAAUAAGUGAGAAUAGGAAAGAAACCUGUCAGUGUGAAGACAGAAGAGAACGUGGAGUUAAGCUCCCAUAAGCCAAGGAAUGCAGAAGAUUGCCAGCAACCACCCAGAAGGUAGAAGAGACAAGGAAGGAUUCUUCUGUAGAGACUUUAUUCAGCUUCUAGCUGCGAGAGUGUACAUUUCUGUUGUUUUAAGGCACUCAGUUUGUGAUAAUUUAUUAUAGCAGCCCUAGCAAACAAUACAUUCACCAACCAGAAAACUAGAAAGAGGUGAGAGGUUCGACUCUCAAAUGUUGUCAUCGUUUUGCCUCCAAUGUUCAGCUUCCCCCAAGGAUAGAUGGGAAUUUGCCCAUUUGGUUCUUGGAAGAGAAUACUUUCUGUACUUUUGGACAUAAGGGGAAAAAAAAUGCAGCGAUUUCUUUCUCCCCUGACAUUGGUAACGUUAUUACCCAUAAUGCAUUAGACACUUAGAUUUGAGAUACUACCUAAAUAUUUACAGCUCUUCCUAGAGUGUGACUGCGUGAUAUCCCAAAGAGAGGCUACUUGUGAACCACCCCUGACCGCACCACAGCCUGCCGGACCCUCCUCUGGUGCCCAGCUAAUGAAUUAAAUGUGGCUGCUUGAGUGGUUUCAUUAGCCUGCGAGGGCGGCAAAGCAACUUGGAGGUUGGAUGUGAUAAGUAAUGCAGGUUACAAAUGGCCAUUAAAUGUUCUUCCAAGGAAAAUUGCUGAACAAAAUGCUUUUAAACUUAUUCUUUAUUUUUUGUCUUUGGAGAAAGAGUUCUAGAGCUGGGGGCGAUGGAGAAGCUCAAAUAGGGAUGGAUCCAAAUCCACUGGUUUGGUAGAGAAAUGAUAGGAGCAGUCAGCACUGGUCAGAAGGGAAAUUUAAGGGAUGUGGCAGCAGUAGAAUUGGUCGGACGUUGCACAGAAGCAGAGUUACAAACAAGGCUGACUCCUAGGCUGAGGAAAUCUGAAAAACUUUUGGGUCACUGAGUGUGGUAGGGAAUUCAAGAUCAAGAAAAGCAAGAAAGAGGAAGUGAAGAGGAGGGUCUGUCAGACUCACGGGCUAAUAAAACUUGGCGGAGCCCUCAUAAUCAUUGGCUCCAAGUGCCACAUCCUACGGACGAGACCACUUGGGGCCCAGAGAGAUGAAGCGGUCAACCAGAGUUCCACGGCUAGCAAACGGGUAGAGCCAAAAUCAGAAUCCAAGGCCCCUCUCAUAAUCCAAAUUAGAGACCAAGAACUGGAGAAAGACCUAUGGAUGUAGAUUUUGUAGAACCCCACUUUCUAGCUGGCAACCCACAAAGGAGAAUAUAUGGAACAGAGAUGACAAACCACAAACUCAUGCUUUGACCUUUACUCUAGUUUUUAAAAUUAGUAGUUAAAUUUGUUUCUAACACCCAAAGGUCAGGUGAGUUCCCAUGGCACUCUAGGUUGCUGGCUGCUCCGGGAAAAGUCAGUUGGUCUGUGAGAAACUAAGGAAGAGCUCCUUCGUGUCAGAUGGGCCACAGGCUGGUGUACCUGCCCACCUGGCGGGCUUCACAGCUGAUAUCCCCCACCUGGCCCCGCUGGACCCUGGAGUUCACAACCCCUGGGAGAGGGGAAGAAAGGCAGGGGUCCUGAGCCUGCGGCUGAGAAGCAGAAUUGGAAAUGGCAGAGGGUGAAGGGAAGGAACCUGAAGACAAGAAGGCCCAGGGAGCCUAGGUCACAGAAGCAAAGGUCUCGUCCAGAAAUCCAGGGGACGGGACGGGCUUUUCAUCUAUUUUUGGAUAAAGUAACAGGAUGUGGAAACCAAAAAAAGUGGGCAGUUCUCUGAUCCUGCACAAUGGUGAUGACUUAUGCAAAACAUCCUCUUUCCUAUUUUUAACUAGAUCACAGAAGCUGCGUCAGAGGGCUCGUUGCUGACUAAUCCUGUUGUGGUGCCUUUCUCUGAAUUGCAUAAAUGCCAUCUACAUAGGCGAAAGAACAUUUGAGAAGGGGAAAAAAGUCUGUAAAGACUAUUGCACACAGGGCAUUCUUAUAAAUAGUAUUCUGAGUGAGAUCAGGGUGUUCUGGGCCACCACUUUCUGGAAGUUGUCUAGGAUUUCAUGGUUGAAUGAUGCGGACAUUCAGAGGAAACUAUUCAUUUAAUUCAAGCUGAAUCAGUGAUCCCGCGACAGUUUUGUACUCCAUAGCGACAACUCUUUUUCAGUAGGUAACACGGAGAAUUAUGCCGAUUUUUCAGCAAAAUUAUUUUCUAGUUGUAUAAAUAUCCCUGUGCCAGGAAUACGUCUUUUAUUGGAGAAAAGGACUCAGGAAUGAGAGUGAAGGGUUCUCAAUGCUUUAUAAGCAAGAACCACAUGGUGACAACGGCAGGGCUUUUUACUGAGACGGAGCUGUUGCAGAUGCUGUGAGGGCCCUGCUCCAACCCCACCCCCCCACCCCUGCUUCAGUGCUCUCCAACUGACCGCCAGCUGCCAAUCUCUGUGUCCCUUUGCCCGGGGGCUUUUUUCAUAACCGAGGAAAGCCAGCGUGCCAAGGAAUGAAAACCACCCAAAAGCAGCAGCAGCCCCAACCGGCAACUGGUAGGAGUUGGUGUAUAAAUACCCUAGUCCCUAGCAUGACCCCUCGCAUGGGGUCUACAAGCCAUUUAAGACACAGAGUAAGUAGGCUGCUGGCUUUGCAAGGCAAAUACCUUGCUAGAGUAAUGCAGUAAUAUUAUUGCUUUGUUUUCUGAGUGUGUGUGUGUGUGUGUGUGUGUGUGUAGUAUGUAUAGUUUAUAUAUAUAUAAACUAUAUAUAGAGAGAGCUUGUAUAUAUAUGUAUGUUUAUAUAUGUAGUAGUAUGUAUAGUUCGUAUAUGUAUAUAUGAAAUGUAUAUACUCUGUGCAUAAUGUAUAUGUAUAUAAUCUGUGUAUAUAACAAAUAAUGUAUAUGGUGUGUGUGUGCAUAUGGUACUUUAUACUUUGGAAGAUAAUACUGUUUUCCACUUGCAAUGGUGCUUAUAAAGCUUCUUUUCAGAAUGAACUUGUUUGGGUAAAAAUGCUGAAUUGAUUUAAAGAACAUUUAAGUAAAUGAUAGAGUAUAACCUCUACCAAUAUGCCACAAAAGUGUAGAGGUUGUGCAUGAAUGACUAAAGCCACACUGGUGUCUUCCCGCUCUCUUCUGCAGAUCCCUCAGGUGCCUCAGAGACUGCCAAGGCAGGGAAGAAGAGUGACAGUGGCUUCAGGUCACCCGCCUCUCCUUCAAGCAAGGCAUCCUGGUGUACUGGCCUGGGAAUCGGUGAUCUAAGGAGUGAACUAGGGGAAGGGAUCUACCAUUUCAAAGAACAAUAGUUCACAAGUUUGAAAUGUUCAGAUGGAGUCCAGCACUCAAUUUAUCAAGAACUUGAGACCAAGAGAGUUUAAAUGACAUUUCUCAGCUCCCGUACGGAGUUUGUGACAGAGCUGGGACAUGGGCCCAUUCACGUGACCCCCAUCCAUGCUCUUCUGACUGUGCUCCCUCCCUCAGAGGCAGGGCUCAGGUAGGGCUUCAAAGGCAGGAGAAAGCAGGGCAGGGAGUGGGGAGAGAAGAUCCUGGAGAGCACAGCUCUGCAGGGGAAUCAGGUGACACUUUCCCGGGGCCAGGCAGGGAGAGCUUUUUAAUAAAGGAAGGUGUUGGGCAGAGGGGGAACAAGGAAUACAGUGGGGAAACAUGUCGGGAUCAGAGGAGAAGGAGCUUGAAUGCCUGGUGGGGGGAGUGUGAACUCACAGGAAGUGUGGAUCCGGGUCUCUGAGCUGGGAAGGGACGCAUGAAAGCCAUGCUUUGGGAGGCAGCACUGUAGAGAGCAACUAGGUUCAAAUACUGCUUCCAGAGCCACUUACUUAGCCUCUCUGUGCUUUAGCUUCUUCUAACACACCCAAAACGGUAUCUGGUACCUAUUAAGGGCUCAGUAAUGAGCCCUACUAAGGGCUAUUAUGAUGUUUUCUAUGAAGGACUGAAUAGUGCCAAGAGAGGGAAGUGGCCUGGCUGAGCUAGGUAGUAGCAGAGACAGAAUUAGAAAUCAGGACUGAUUUCUAAUUCAACACUCUUUUUCUCUGCAUCUUGUUUUAAAAUGAUGUCUUGUUUAUUUUCUUGUCUGCGUUAGCAUUUCCACUUGCAAAACAUAAUGCCUUUAUUUAGUACAAACAUACCUCCACAAUGGUUUCCUUUUGGAAAAACAAUUUCGAUCGAUGAUUUCUCUCACUCCCUAAUUAAUAUACCACAGUUAGAGUGAGCACUGCCUGCUUUGACAAAGCAGGGCUUUCAAUUUUCAGAUCUUCAGCCACUAACAGGGGAGUCUGACUUUAAACGGUAUGAACUUGAGUAUGACAUUUAAAUUUUAAUAACUGUUCUGGUUGCUUCUUUGUGUCUGGAGAAAAUAACGUUUAUUUUGACCAAAUGCUAUCUUUUCCCUUUUUUCAUCAGAUAAAUCAUACUUAUGACCUGAGAGCUUCUGUUGUUCUUUAUGAUUCACUGAUCAACCGUGAACGAAGAAACAAAUGCUGGAAUUUUGGUGACAGCAUAUUGGUGAUUCUCUCCAGGAGACUGCGGUCUCGCAAAGAAUCAGAGACCAAGGGAGGGCAGCUUCCUCAGAGAUUCUGUAGCCCAGCUCAUCCAUCUUCAUAGAUGACAAAACUCAGCUCAGAAAGAUGAGUUGAAUUUUGCAAAGUCAUCUGGCUAUUUGGUGGUAAGAGGGAUUUUGAACCCAUUUGUUUUUUUGACUUGGAGUCCCCAUUGCAUCAUGUCCUGCAUCAACUCAUGCAUUUCUAAAAAGUCUUCCUGUAUUAUUAGGCAGGCAAAUCCAGCUUGUUGCUUGGUUUUGCAAAUAAAGUUUUAUUGAAACACAGUCCCUUCACAAAAGAUGUCUGCCGAUCCCUG
Molecule: long non-coding RNA, 9247 nt
Filed under: Lynx pardinus (Iberian lynx)
Lineage: Eukaryota; Metazoa; Chordata; Mammalia; Carnivora; Felidae
Source: RNAcentral